CAGUAAGCCACUUCCUUGCUAGAAUUCAUCUUUCACAAUCUCCCUUUCUUUUCGAUCAUUUGAACAAUAGUCUCAUCGUAAAAGCACAAUUGAGUGUGAAGGUCUCUGGUGAAAAAAAAUGAACCGUGGACUGGCCGGAUUUUCUUCGGAAGAGGCUUCAACCAAGAGACCGUUCAAUUUGGAGUCGAGCGAGUUGAGGAUGAUGUAGGAUGAGCUUUCCAGAUGAGCUUUCCUCUCUUCAGGUUUUUUCUCCUCCUUUAGACAUAUCAUCUUUGAUCUCUCAGUCUUGAGAUAUACAGAUCUUCA
Molecule: long non-coding RNA, 306 nt
Filed under: Lotus japonicus
Lineage: Eukaryota; Viridiplantae; Streptophyta; Magnoliopsida; Fabales; Fabaceae
Description: long non-coding RNA (LJAP_LNC001371)
Source: RNAcentral